This 322-nucleotide unclassified non-coding RNA is filed under the name soil metagenome. Its description in RNAcentral is "partial contains 5.8S ribosomal RNA, internal transcribed spacer 2, and large subunit ribosomal RNA". The stretch from base 1 to 120 matches the Rfam family "5.8S ribosomal RNA", at positions 35 to 154 of the family's 154-position model. The record is from RNAcentral.
GAUGAAGAACGUAGCGAAAUACGAUAAGUAAUGUGAAUUGCAGAAUUCAGUGAAUCAUCGAAUCUUUGAACGCACAUUGCGCCCUUUGGCAUUCCGAAGGGCACACCUGUCCGAGCGCCGUCGCACAACUGAGGCGCAGCCUUGCGUUGGCGGGCGACUUGUGAGUAGCGAGUCGCCGCCCAAACGAGACGGCGCCGCGCCGCGGCCGACGAAGCACGAAAGCGGAAGUCGACGCGGAGGCGGUUGCCUGUAGGAAGACACAGCUUGGCCUCGGAUCAGGUGGGGAUACCCGCUGAACUUAAGCAUAUCAAUAAGCGGAGGA